AAUUUUGGACAAUGGGGGAAACCCUGAUCAAGCCAUCCCGCGUGUCUGAUGAAGGCCUNUGGGAUNUNAAGUACUUUUGGCAGAGNAGAAAAGGUAUCUCCUAAUACGAGAUACUGCUGACGGUAUCUGCAGAAUAAGCACCGGCUAACUACGUGCCAGCAGCCGCGGUAAUACGUAGGGUGCAAGCGUUAAUCGGAAUUACUGGGCGUAAAGCGUGUGUAGGCGGUUCGGAAAGAAAGAUGUGAAAUCCCAGGGCUCAACCUUGGAACUGCAUUUUUAAAGGCCUAGCUAGAGUAUGUCAGAGGGGGGUAGAAUUCCACGUGUAGCAGUGAAAUGCGUAGAUAUGUGGAGGAAUACCGAUGGCGAAGGCAGCCCCCUGGGAUAAUACUGACGCUCAGACACGAAAGCGUGGGGAGCAAACA
RNAcentral lists this ribosomal RNA (422 nucleotides) under uncultured bacterium. Its description in RNAcentral is "partial 16S ribosomal RNA". It matches the Rfam family "Bacterial small subunit ribosomal RNA", at positions 360 to 774 of the family's 1533-position model. The record is from RNAcentral.